Mastomys coucha (southern multimammate mouse) is the source of this 1228-nucleotide long non-coding RNA. RefSeq lists it as uncharacterized. Lineage: Eukaryota; Metazoa; Chordata; Mammalia; Rodentia; Muridae. The record is from RefSeq and is a predicted model, not a curated record. The transcript has 2 exons.
UGCUGAGGGUCGCAGCGCGGCGGACGCGGACGCCGAGGAGAGGUCCGCGGGUGACGGACCGCGGAGGACCAGAACCACCUGCUGGAGGAGCUGCGCUACGGGGGCCGCGCAGGGUCCAAACGGCUCGCGUAGGCGGCGGCUCCGCGGUCCUCGGGGUCGCGGAGCCGGGAAGGUGGGAGGCCUUCCGGGAGGAGGCUUAGGCCGCCGCGGGCGCCGCGCGGCGGGAUCGCUGGGCUGUGGGGAGGCCCCGGGGGCGGAGGCGGACCUCCAGUCGGCGAGAGAGGGCGGUGCCGCACGAGAUGCAAACAGCCGGACCGCCUCGGAUUCCCCCGGGGAGCACGAGACCGCCCGUGUCCUGCAGCCCGGAGCACCUAGGGGGCCGCUUGAGUUUUGCAAAGUUAAGCGGCUUACCCGCAAGCCCGUCCGCUUAGAGCCCAGCCGUGCGGGUUGCCCGUCGCUGUCCCGCGCAAGUCACCGCCGCGGGAUUUAGAAGUUUGAAGGAAGAAAUGAAGGCUUCUGCUUUGUAACUACUGCAGAUGUUAGAGAUGGAAAACCAGGGAGACGGUGGUAAUAACAAAUGAGCUAUCGAGGGUGAGGUUGAACGUCCAUGAGCUCCCAACACUUGGGAAGCUGAUCAGAAAGUGAGUCCAACGUCAAUGGUUACACACAAAGAUUGAUCCGGGGGUCGGGGCCAAGAGGAGGGGGCGAGACUUGAGAUAAAGGAAGGCAGGAAGAAUUUUAAAUGAUGGAGAAACGGAGAUGCGUUCUACAGGAUCUGAACAUCUGAUUGGGAAGAGAGAAAUAAGGUCCAGAUGCUUGCUUGUAAGAGGGAGAGUGAACACUAGAGAGAGAAAGACAGCUACUUUUGAGAAAAGACUGUCAGUUUAGAUAGGAAGGGGUUGAGGGCAGCCAAAGAGAUGUGGGCAUAAGAAGUUAAAGCAGUACUAAAACAGCCGAAAGGAACUGCACGUGGACAGUACCCCGGGGCUGGGCAUAGUUCAGUCGGUAGCUUGAGUUCUAGCCCCAGAAUAAAUGUAAAAACUCCCAGCAUGGUAGCAAGCUCUGGCCCCAAAGAUUAGCAGGCAGAACAGGUGGAUCCCUCUGUCUUCUUAGCUACCCUCCCACUCUCCACAAAAAGAUAGCACGAGAGGAAUGAUAACCACACCCUCCAGCAUGUACAUGAACAACACACACACACACCACAAAAAAAAAAAAAAAAAAAAAAAAA